GUGCCAGCCGCCGCGGUAAUACAGAGGUCCCGAGCGUUGUUCGGAUUCAUUGGGCGUAAAGGGUGUGUAGGAGGUUGGGUAAGUCGGAUGUGAAAUCUCACCGCUUAACGGUGAAACUGCAUUCGAUACUGCUUGGCUGGAGGAUCGGAGGGGGUAUCGGAAUUCAUGGUGUAGCAGUGAAAUGCGUAGAUAUCAUGAGGAACACCGGUGGCGAAAGCGGAUACCUGGAAGAUUCCUGACUCUGAAACACGAAAGCUAGGGGAGCAAACGGGAUUAGAAACCCUCGUAGUCC
RNAcentral lists this ribosomal RNA (292 nucleotides) under uncultured bacterium. RNAcentral's name for it is "partial 16S ribosomal RNA". It matches the Rfam family "Bacterial small subunit ribosomal RNA", at positions 505 to 796 of the family's 1533-position model. The record is from RNAcentral.